Molecule: ribosomal RNA, 478 nt
Filed under: uncultured bacterium
Lineage: Bacteria
Description: partial 16S ribosomal RNA
Rfam family: Bacterial small subunit ribosomal RNA
Source: RNAcentral
GACGAACGCUGGCGGCGUGCUUAACACAUGCAAGUCGAACGGGAUUUAGUAAACAGAAGCCUCGGUGGAAGAUUACUAAUGAGAGUGGCGAACGGGUGAGUAACGCGUGAGCAACCUGCCUAUGACAGUGGGAUAGCCUCGGGAAACCGGGAUUAAUACCGCAUAAAAUCGUAGAAACACAUGUUUUAACGGUCAAAGAUUUAUCGGUCAUAGAUGGGCUCGCGUCUGAUUAGCUAGUUGGUGAGAUAACAGCCCACCAAGGCGACGAUCAGUAGCCGGUCUGAGAGGAUGAACGGCCACACUGGAACUGAGACACGGUCCAAAAUCCUACGGGAGGCAGCAGUGGGGAAUCUUGCACAAUGGGGGAAACCCUGAUGCAGCGACGCCGCGUGAACGAAGAAGGUAUUCGUAUCGUAAAGUUCUGUCCUAUGGGAAGAUAAUGACAGUACCAUAGAAGAAAGCUCCGGCUAAAUACGUG